CCUACGGGUGGCAGCAGUGAGGAAUAUUGGUCAAUGGACGAGAGUCUGAACCAGCCAAGUAGCGUGAAGGAUGACUGCCCUAUGGGUUGUAAACUUCUUUUAUAAGGGAAUAAAACGAGGCACGUGUGCCUUUUUGCAUGUACUUUAUGAAUAAGGAUCGGCUAACUCCGUGCCAGCAGCCGCGUUAAUACGGAGGAUCCGAGCGUUAUCCGGAUUUAUUGGGUUUAAAGGGAGCGUAGAUGGGUUGUUAAGUCAGUUGUGAAAGGUUGGGGCUCAACCGUAAAAUUGCAAUUGAUACUGGCAGUCUUGAGUACAGUUGAGGUAGGCGGAAUUCGUGGUGUAGCGGUGAAAUGCUUAGAUAUCACGAAGAACCCCGAUUGCGAAGGCAGCUUACUAAACUGUGACUGACAUUGAUGCUCGAAAGUGUGGGUAUCAAACAGGAUUAGAUACCCCUGUAGUC
Molecule: ribosomal RNA, 460 nt
Filed under: uncultured bacterium
Lineage: Bacteria
Description: partial 16S ribosomal RNA
Rfam family: Bacterial small subunit ribosomal RNA
Source: RNAcentral